Molecule: ribosomal RNA, 488 nt
Filed under: uncultured bacterium
Lineage: Bacteria
Description: bacterial SSU rRNA
Rfam family: Bacterial small subunit ribosomal RNA
Source: RNAcentral
GAUGAACGCUAGCGACAGGCUUAACACAUGCAAGUCGAGGGGCAGCGAGGGCGUAGCAAUACGCCUGUCGGCGACCGGCGCACUGGUGAGUAACACGUAUGCGACCUGCCCCCUACAGGGGUAUAACCCGUAGAAAUGCGGACUAAUCCCCCAUAGUCCUGGGUGCUGCAUGGCAUUCAGGGGAAAGGCCAGCCGGUAGGGGAUGGGCAUGCGGCGCAUUAGCUAGUUGGCGGGGCAACGGGCCCACCAAGGCGACGAUGCGUAGGGGUUCUGAGAGGAAGGUCCCCCCACACUGGUACUGAGACACGGACCAGACUCCUACGGGAGGCAGCAGUGAGGAAUAUUGGUCAAUGGGCGCAGGCCUGAACCAGCCAAGUCGCGUGAGGGAGGACGGUCCUACGGAUUGUAAACCUCUUUUGUCGGGGAGUAACGUGCGGGACGCGUCCCGUAUUGAGAGUACCCGAAGAAAAGCAUCGGCUAACUCCGUG